GAUGAACGCUAGCGGCAGGCCUAACACAUGCAAGUCGAGGGGUAGAGUUAGCUUGCUAACUUGAGACCGGCGCACGGGUGCGUAACGCGUAUGCAAUCUACCUUAUACAGGGGAAUAGCCCAGAGAAAUUUGGAUUAAUGCCCCAUGGUAUUAUUAAGUGGCAUCAUUUGAUAAUUAAAGUUCCAACGGUAUAAGAUGAGCAUGCGUCCCAUUAGUUAGUUGGUAAGGUAACGGCUUACCAAGACGAUGAUGGGUAGGGGUCCUGAGAGGGAGAUCCCCCACACUGGUACUGAGACACGGACCAGACUCCUACGGGAGGCAGCAGUGAGGAAUAUUGGUCAAUGGAGGCAACUCUGAACCAGCCAUGCCGCGUGCAGGAAGAAGCAUCUAUGGUGUGUAAACUGCUUUUAUACAGGAAGAAACAACGCUACGUGUAGCGUCUUGACGGUACUGUAAGAAUAAGGACCGGCUAACUCCGUG
RNAcentral lists this ribosomal RNA (480 nucleotides) under uncultured organism. RNAcentral's name for it is "bacterial SSU rRNA". It matches the Rfam family "Bacterial small subunit ribosomal RNA", at positions 28 to 507 of the family's 1533-position model. The record is from RNAcentral.